GAACCAAAUUGAUAAAAUUAAAAGUACAAGUUAAAUUGAAAGGCAUGCAAAGUUCAAGAUAUUACACCAUAAACCUCUUACUAAAAAACUCCUAAACCACAGCAUGCACUUAGAUACCUAACAUUUCAAAAUUAGUACACUACCAUGAAUCAAAAGUGUAAUUGAAGGAUUAUAAUGCUUUACAAUAUGACAAUUCAAGGACUAAAAUGCAAUUAAAAUUUAAAAUUUGAAGAACUAAAGUGUAAUGAAAGAUUUAUAGUUUUAUAAUCAAAGUCUAAAUUGCGGAAUCAUUAACAUACCAUAGAGGUCAGAACGACAAACUUUAAAACAAUAAGGACCAAAGUGCAUGAAGAUUUUAGCAAUUUGCCCUUUUAAAAAUUUAUUAAAUGAACAUUUUACAAAGUUCAUAUAAACCAUCAUAUAGAAAUAUAGUCGUAUCUUGUUUAACCAUUUUCAUUUAAAUUUUCAUAUAUAAUACAUUGUCUUUUUUUUUUCUCCUUCACCGACAA
RNAcentral lists this unclassified non-coding RNA (509 nucleotides) under Hevea brasiliensis (rubber tree). The record is from RNAcentral. Lineage: Eukaryota; Viridiplantae; Streptophyta; Magnoliopsida; Malpighiales; Euphorbiaceae.